AGAUGUGAUCUUUCUGGCAUCUCCAAAGACUGGAACAUUAAAUAUUAUGUGCCAAGCAUCUGGACAAGAUCUGGUCAUUUUCUUGGUGCGUGAAAGCUCCAUUGCUGAUUCCUCAUGUUGGUGUUGAUGUCACUCAGCUGUUACCACUGUGGAAAGCAAAGCAAGGUUCAACACUACUGGGAAUGCAUGCAGAUACGAGGACAUUCAACCCUGAAACAACAAUGCAGUAACUCACAGAUGAUCUCCUUUGCCUGAAUAUUUAUUGGUUCCACCUGUGCUGUAUUAACCAAUGUGUUUAUAUACCUGUCUUUUUCAUUUCCUAUUUGCAUGGUAUUGUCUUAUCAAUGUGUAAGUAUACUAAGCGGUUUCUUUAUUCUGUAAAUUUUCUGGUUAUGACCCUGUUUAAAUUUUAAAUUAUGCCUUAUUGGAUUUUCCCUUCUGUAUUUUUGUUUUCUCAUAGCCUGCUUGGUUCUGGACUUUGCCUGUUUGACUUUCCCUGAAAAAACUGUUUCUAUAAUUUCCUUUGCUCUGGUUCUGGUUCUGGUUCUGACUCUUACCUGUUUAUCAUUUAUGUAUCUGGGCUGCCCU
Electrophorus electricus (electric eel) is the source of this 588-nucleotide non-coding RNA. Lineage: Eukaryota; Metazoa; Chordata; Actinopteri; Gymnotiformes; Gymnotidae. The record is from RefSeq and is a predicted model, not a curated record.